CCUGAAGUAGCUCAGUCAGGAGAGCGUUAGACUGAGAAUUUAGAGGUCCCUGGUUCAAACCCAGGCUUUGGCA
This is a non-coding RNA of Chrysemys picta bellii (western painted turtle), 73 nucleotides long. The record is from the annotation of a RefSeq genome assembly. NCBI's taxonomy places the organism in Eukaryota, Metazoa, Chordata, Testudines, Emydidae.